Molecule: long non-coding RNA, 1691 nt
Filed under: Apis dorsata (giant honeybee)
Lineage: Eukaryota; Metazoa; Arthropoda; Insecta; Hymenoptera; Apidae
Description: uncharacterized LOC116185237
Source: RNAcentral
CUAACGAAUCACGUUGUCUCACUUUCCACGCUUAAAAGUCUAUUUUAUGCGUCCCCCUCCAGAUCCAUGAUGGUAUCUAGCAAACAUCCGAGUUUCGAACGGCCGUGUCCCCCGAUUCGAUUCCCUUCCAUGUUCACAUUGUCCAAUUUGUCCGCCCCUUUUUAUCAUUUCCCCGUUACCACUCUAAUCCUCCACUUGUACCGUUUUUCAGCGGAUCCCUUGAUCGGUGAAUCGCGGUAUCAGAUGGGCGGGGAACACAUUAGUUAGCGGUAACAAGCGCGGCGAACAACUGCGUUACAACAUAGCCAGGGCGUGUUCUACACAACCAUAAAAUACGUGUCACAACCGUGCUACCGUGUAAGCCUGUUUCUAACCUUUACCUGCACACGUGGCCACGAACAAAUAACUCGUUUAUUAUUCCGCGAACGAUCACGAAAAAUCACCUUUUUUCGCUUCUCUUGAAAUGUUUCCUUUCGGAUCGUUUCGGAAACUGCAUUUUCCAAUUUCGAGAGUGCUUUGUCAUCUUUCAUUCUUUUUUUUUAUUUUUUUUCAGGGACUCAGGUCUCACGGACGUCGGUGAAGAAUGCGAAAAGUUAUGAGUUGAAGAGUGAAAUUGAGAAGUUUCGAGGUAUUUUUCGAUCAAUAGUUUAUAGAGUUCAACACAUUGUGAAUAAAAGACGCGAAUCUAUGGCCUUCGAUUUCCAAACAUUCGGAAGGAGACACGAGAAUCUAUGUCUUUUGUUUACCAAUCGUUGGAGAGGGGAGACGUGAAUCUACGUCUUUAGUUUUAUUCGGUCGCGCGGUGUUUACUUUACGAUUCUCUCCGGUGACGCCGAGGCUUACGGACGUGCGACGAACUCUCCUAAAGAAAGCGUGAUUCGAUGAAAGAGCAUGGAAUCCUGGAAUUUUGUGAAACGUGUGUAUAUACGAAUGCAUAAAUGAAGCAUUGUUUUGGAAAAAUUAAUGUCGUUUCAUUUGGCAAAUUCAUUGAGCAGACAAAUGUUUGUUAAUGGUGUGAGGCAAGAGGGGAAAAUAAAAGAGCGGUGGAAUAUCAGGAAAUAUUUUUAAUGUACCAAUUAGAAUGAUAUUUAUGAGAGCAUGAUAUUAAAAAUAAAAUAAAGAUACAUCGUUCUCGAAAUGAGAAAAAGAAGAAAAAAAGAAGACGACAAAAUAAUAAAUUCUUCUACGAAGAUUUUUCUUUUUUUAAAGAAAAAAAAAAGGAACAAACAUCAAAUAAGUUUGACGCGAGGAAAAAUUUUAAGAACUUUCAUCGUUCUUUCUGAAUCUUGGCAGUUAAGAAGAAUCCGUGGAAUUUCGCAGAGGAAAUUUCCGCCCAUAAAGUUGCCUUCUCACCGGCAACUUUAAUGGUGGAUAAUAAGAGAAGGAAACGGAUUAGCGUAGUGGUCAUGUUCGUGAAUGACACGUGAUAAAUUCUGAUUUUCGUUUCGGCUGAAAUGAACGAAACAACGCUAUGAAACAAGGGGCAAAGUCUAUCCCCCAUCGUGAACACAUUUUCAUCAAAUACAGAACACACGUUAUAUUCUGGUACGUGUUAACAAGUCUCAGUUAACAAGCCAACAACGCUAUUUUCCAACAUUUUCCUCCAAUAACUAUACUGUAUACAACCAACGUGGAUUGAAACAAUAUGAAUUCCUACACACAAUGUUUCAGAAUCGAUCAAUCGUAUAAUU